UAAUACAUGCAAGUCGUACGCACUGGCCCAACUGAUUGAUGGUGCUUGCACCUGAUUGACGAUGGAUCACCAGCUGAGUGGCGGACGGGUGAGUAACACGUAGGUAACCUGCCCCGGAGCGGGGGAUAACAUUUGGAAACAGAUGCUAAUACCGCAUAACAACAAAAGCCACAUGGCUUUUGUUUGAAAGAUGGCUUUGGCUAUCACUCUGGGAUGGACCUGCGGUGCAUUAGCUAGUUGGUAAGGUAACGGCUUACCAAGGCGAUGAUGCAUAGCCGAGUUGAGAGACUGAUCGGCCACAAUGGAACUGAGACACGGUCCAUACUCCUACGGGAGGCAGCAGUAGGGAAUCUUCCACAAUGGGCGCAAGCCUGAUGGAGCAACACCGCGUGAGUGAAGAAGGGUUUCGGCUCGUAAAGCUCUGUUGUUGGAGAAGAACGUGCGUGAGAGUAACUGUUCACGCAGUGACGGUAUCCAACCAGAAAGUCACGGCUAACUACUUGCCAGCAGCCGCGGUAAUAC
This 522-nucleotide ribosomal RNA is filed under the name Limosilactobacillus reuteri. RNAcentral's name for it is "bacterial SSU rRNA". It matches the Rfam family "Bacterial small subunit ribosomal RNA", at positions 49 to 526 of the family's 1533-position model. Lineage: Bacteria; Bacillati; Bacillota; Bacilli; Lactobacillales; Lactobacillaceae. The record is from RNAcentral.